RNAcentral lists this unclassified non-coding RNA (400 nucleotides) under soil metagenome. RNAcentral's name for it is "partial contains 5.8S ribosomal RNA, internal transcribed spacer 2, and large subunit ribosomal RNA". The stretch from base 1 to 122 matches the Rfam family "5.8S ribosomal RNA", at positions 35 to 154 of the family's 154-position model. The record is from RNAcentral.
GAUGAAGAACGCAGCGAAAUGCGAUACUUGGUGUGAAUUGCAGAAUCCCGUGAACCAUCGAGUCUUUGAACGCAAGUUGCGCCUCAAGCCAUUAGGUUGAGGGCACGUCUGCCUGGGCGUCACAUAUCGUUGCCUGAUGCCAGUUUCCUCGUGAUGGGUGACUGUGCAGGGCGAAUGAUGGCUUCCCGUGAGCAUUGUUGCCUCAUGGUUGGUUGAAAAUUGAGUCCUUGGUAGGGAGCGCCGUGAUAGAUGGUGGUUGAGUGACGAACGAGACCCAAUCAUGUGAGACCCCUACCGAAUUUGGCCUUCGUGACCCACAUGCGUCUUUGGAACGCUCAUGACGAGACCUCAGGUCAGGCGGGGCUACCCGCUGAGUUUAAGCAUAUCAAUAAGCGGAGGA